This 81-nucleotide transfer RNA is filed under the name Triticum aestivum (bread wheat). It matches the Rfam family "tRNA". From Rfam's summary of the family: Transfer RNA (tRNA) molecules are approximately 80 nucleotides in length. Their secondary structure includes four short double-helical elements and three loops (D, anti-codon, and T loops). Lineage: Eukaryota; Viridiplantae; Streptophyta; Magnoliopsida; Poales; Poaceae. The record is from Rfam by way of RNAcentral.
GAUCAGAUCGCUGAGUUGGUCUAAGGCGCCAGAUUAAGGCUCUGGUCCGAAAGGGUGUGGGUUCAAAUCUCACUUUGGUCA